This 39-nucleotide ribosomal RNA is filed under the name Ostrearia australiana. RNAcentral's name for it is "partial 26S ribosomal RNA". Lineage: Eukaryota; Viridiplantae; Streptophyta; Magnoliopsida; Saxifragales; Hamamelidaceae. The record is from RNAcentral.
UUCCAUCGCGACCCCAGGUCAGGCGGGACUACCCGCUGA